AAGCCAUUGCAGAAUGCCCUGGGCACCAUGGAAUGCCCUGAGACUCAGUAGACUCUGGGCUGGUUCUGAGCAACAUUUUUACCUUUGGAAUGCCAAUUAACUCUACUUAGAACCUGGGAAAUCUGAUGAUCUUUACUGAAAUCCUGGAAAAAACUCUAAACCCAUCGUGUCUUUUGGGAGCUAUCUAAGCCCUGGUGAGACUCUGGGAAAAGCACUGAACAUGACUGAGACUCUGCCAAAGGCACUGAGAAUAACAGAAAACCUGGUAAUGGCCAUGAGUUCUACUAGGGACUGGGCAAGGUCUUCAGCUUUUUGAAAACCUGGUAAUAUCCUGAAACACACUGAGAUGGCGGUAAUGUACAAGACAUCAAUGGAAUGAAGAAAUAUAGUAAAAAAGAACACCAAAAAAUCUGUGGGAACAACCUGAGCAUGACUGUAAGACUGGAGAGGACUAGAAAUCCCAUUGAGAACCUGAGCCAAGACCCACAUGCACUGAAUGCAUAUCAGAGUCCAUGACCCAGCUUAGUGAGAUGCAAAAGACCUGAAUACCAAUGAUACACUGGGAAAAGCCUCAACACCACUUAGAAACCAGUGAGGCCCAGAAUGCCAGAGACACUUUUGAAGGCCUUUGGAUCACACAAACUCAUGAAUAUCAUCUGAACACACAUGAAUGCUAAGGACAGUCCUGAGUCACACUGUAACCCUGGAGAUUGUUGUCAGAAUGACAGAACAUUGUGGAAGGCAUUGAGACCCACUAAAGAAAUAGAGAAAGCCAUGAGCUUCAUUGCACAUUGGGAAAAGUACUCAGACACAUGGAAACUGUGAGAAAGAUCCAAAACAGCACAUUGACUUUGGUGGAGGCACUGAACCCCAUUGUAAAUCUAUAUAUUGAAGUCCUUUUGCCUCACAGAGGCUAUGGGAAAAAUCUGAGAACCAAUCAUACCUAAAAUCUCAAAAAAGACCCUAUAGAAUUCUCUGGCUCCUAUAAGUCACUGGGAAAAACACUAAGCCAGAUUGAGACCUUGGAGAAAGCCACGAGCUUAUACCAAGACACUUGGGCUACCCUCAAUGCCUAUAAAAGAAAGGGGAAGGCUCUGAGCACCACUAUGACACUGAGAGUAUCUCCAUGUUACAUUAACACAUUGGGCAUGGCUCUAUUUUCCAAUGAGACACUAGGGAAGACAUUAUUUUCCAAGAAUAUUGUGGGAGAAUCUGAG
This 1217-nucleotide long non-coding RNA is filed under the name Marmota monax (woodchuck). The record is from RNAcentral. Lineage: Eukaryota; Metazoa; Chordata; Mammalia; Rodentia; Sciuridae.